CGUCUCACUGGGCGCCGCCGCUCGUCGCCGCGCGCUCUCGUGUGCGCCACCUUCGUCUCCAUCGGCGGCGUGCGUCGCGUCGGCUUCCUGGUGAUCGUCGGCUCAGUCGCGCUCGGCUGACUCAGUCGUCGCCUCGGCAGCUGGGAGAGCGUCGUGUAUAGGGAGUGGCCCAAGAGUGGGCCGAGUCGCCCGUCCAGCCGAGCCGGAUUUUGAAGAACGAGAGAGGUCUGUGCGGUCUGGCGGGUAUAGGACGUACAAGCUGCGGCCUUCGGCAUGGAUAAGGACACGCUGACGAAGCAGAUUGAGAACAUGAAGCACCAGGCCUCGAUGGAGCGAUGGCCACUGAGCAAAAGUAUUGCCGCACUGAAGGAGUUUAUUGAAGAAAAUGAGAAGACCGACCCACUUAUCUACGCAGUCGAUAAGAAGAACAACCCGUGGGCAGAAAAAGGAAAAUGUCUCGUCAUGUAGCCCCGAAGGCACUGGCUGCUGUGUGAUUACGUGACCAGUUGACCAUCGCUACUCAAUAACAGGAAAUAACCAAAGAUCCCUGAUCAUCGCUCGGAGCUAGGGGCCUGUCAGGGGCAACGAUGCCGUGCAUCCGAUCUCAGCUUUGGAACCGGGACUGAGCUGGUGAACAGGGGUGCUUGAAGAUGAGCUUGAAUCAGGGUAUUUGACUUUGUUGACGGCGAUUGAUUGAGGGCAUCUAUCGGGAGACAGCUGGGAGUUGUCAGUGGUUUUAACUUGAUUAAACUGCAAGUGAUGAUCCACUUGUGAAUGUUUGAUUUCAUGAAACAUGUAGGCACUUUAUCAUUGAUGGUCGUUGAGGAUGAUAGGAGGUGUUUAGUUAAAAUGUGUUUUUCCCAUGUUGCCAGUAGGCGUGCGCCGACAAAGGUGGCUUCAUAUUUUUGGAGCUCGGUACCUUGCUUUCAAAUUUGUUAGCACAUUAUAUAUCGGCUACUGAGUAGGCAAACCUACUAAAACAUCAGUCAUCACACACAUACUACUGUGAGAUUUAACACCGUCCAUAUUAAGUUCACAGAUAUGUCCUUAUUGUUUGUAGUUAUUUUCGUGCGUUAUUUUGUCAUGCUUUUGUGUGCAAUACCUACCUCACAUGCGACUCUAUAAACACAUGUUAUCUGUCCCGUAUGUGCAUAUUCACUCAAAAUCUGUUUUGCGUUAGCGAGGUGUGUACAUUGUCCAAAAAAUGGCUUGACCUCAAUUUCGAAUACAUUAUAACAUUUGUGUAA
This is a long non-coding RNA of Amphibalanus amphitrite, 1247 nucleotides long. RefSeq lists it as uncharacterized. NCBI's taxonomy places the organism in Eukaryota, Metazoa, Arthropoda, Thecostraca, Balanomorpha, Balanidae. The transcript is spliced from 2 exons. The record is from RefSeq and is a predicted model, not a curated record.